GACCUGGAGGUGUCGUAGAUUGUUGCGAAGGAUAUGUGUGGAACAAAAUAGAGAAUAGAUGCAUACUAGAUAUCUGCCCAAGUGCUAACUUUUCACUCGAGUGUUGUCCGGGAUAUGUAUGGAACACCACAGAAAAUAGAUGCAUAGAAUGUAAUGCUGGUAGAAUUGGACCUCAUUGUGACAAAGUUUGUCCGUACCCAGGGUUUGGAAUAAGAUGUCUCUCAAAAUGUAAUUGCAGUUUGGAUCAAUGCAAUACCGCUGACGGGUGCCUUGGUAUACUGAUCUUGGAUAUUUUUUUUAUAUAGCUUUAGGAUAUGUCGUUUUUCUUAUAAUAAGUAUCAAGAAGUUCAAAUAUCAACUAUCGCUCAAAAUUUCAAAAUCUAAAAUCCUAAAAAUUAAAAAAGAGGUUGUAAAUUAAUAUAAUAGCUCGAAAUUUUAAGCGUUAAAAUCCUAAAAAUUAAAAAAAAUAAUUGUAAAUUAAUAUGAUAGAUGAUACAUGUUUAUUACCUUUACCCUUACUGCAAAAUUACAGAAUGUAAUGCUGGUAGAAUUGGACCUCAUUGUGACAAAGUUUGUCCGUACCCAGGGUUUGGAAUAAGAUGUCUCUCAAAAUGUAAUUGCAGUUUGGAUCAAUGCGAUCCCGCUGACGGGUGCCUUGAGUGGACCAGUGGGCCAACAACACAAUCACUAAUAUUUCAGAUAGAAAGGUUUACUACUUCAUCGCAAAGAAAAAGACCGAAACCUCCAUUAGUCAUCAUAUAUGCAGGAUUGGUAUUAUAUUAUACGAUUUCCUAAGUCCAGCAACUUCAAGUCAGGAUUAAGGCAAAUGGGUUUGAUAGAAGGAAAAUUUUGUGUGGAAAAAGUCUACUGAAAGGAAGAGAUUUGACCUGUUUGAAAAGGACAUCUGGCAUGUGUAUAUGUUGUUACAUUUCGAAAAGUUUGCAGCCAUAUAGAAUAACUGUCUUAUUUUUACUAAAUUAUGUUUUGAAUUUUUUUCAAUCACGUUUAGAUUUCAAACGUUUUAAAAAAAAUAUCCAUAUGUAACGAUUUAAUAAUAUUUGUCAAAAGCCUUAAAGAAAAAAAAUAUAUAUGUAUAUAUAAUUUGUGAGGUUUGCAUAGUUUGAUCAAUGAAAAACGAUGUUAGGGUUAUGAGUGCUUUUAUUAUGUUAUUAUCCAUAUAAAAGUAUUAUUUGACCCUGUCAAAACAUUUAUCAAGAGUAAAUAUUCGACAUAGAAUUAUAGAACUUUGAUGUUCAUUUUCUCAUUCAAUCAUGAUAUCGGAAUUGAAGGUAUAAUAAAUCAAUUAAUAGAGAACUAAGUAAAUUGUAGGUCUAAAUAAGUCUCAAUAAGAAUAUAAAUAUAUCAAAUGAAUGUAUAAAUGUAGUAAAGAAAUUGCAGUUAUUUAGGAAACAUUCAAUGAAAUCAAAAGACAUAUUCAAACAUUGACCAGCCUAUAUAUAAAGCAAUUACUUGUGAUGACUCUUCUGAAAAUAAGGCCCAUUAGUGAAUUCAUACAUAAAGACUAAACCAGCAAGUCAUUUAGAUACAUGCCGUCCGAAAAUUUAUUUUAAAGAAAUAAAGAUAGUAUACUUAUAUGUACAAACAUUAUAAUACUAAUAAAACUAUAUAUUUUUAAUCAUAAAAUAUAAGACUGCUACAUGUACAUAGUUUUCAAGCCUAUCAAUGCGUUUCCUUCCUCAAAGGGGAGUUGAACAAGUUGCCUGUCUAAUAUUAUAUCAGUUAUUUUUAUAAAUUAAUAUAGAUACAAAACACAAAUGGUGUAAAGUCGUGACAGGCUUAAUUCGAAUCACUUUUAGUUUUAAUUAAUUAUUUUUUUAGCGGGAUAAGUGCAAUGCAUUUCAAUCAUUACUGCUUAAUGAUUUUAGUGAAUACAUGGUUUAGUGUUCUUCACUUUCAUUUUGAUCCAAUGAUAAUAUAUUUGAUAGUUGUUUUACAUGUAUUGACCAGUUAGAUUUUAUUUAAUCUGAAUUUGAAAUUAAUGAAUUUGUAAAAUCAUCAGAAAGGUACCAUUCAACUUUCUUUGAUAUAUUUCUUUGAUUCAUAGUUUCUUUGUUCAGGAUUAUCGAAUAAACUUGUGU
Molecule: long non-coding RNA, 2099 nt
Organism: Magallana angulata
Lineage: Eukaryota; Metazoa; Mollusca; Bivalvia; Ostreida; Ostreidae
Exons: 7
Source: RefSeq, a predicted model, not a curated record